GUAAACUCUUUGGAAUAUUGUGAGACAUGUUUUUGAUUGUGUCACUAAUAUUUUAAUUUGUGGUGUGAUACAAAUAGAAAUUGUUUAGACGGUGUUAUACUGAAAAAUGUGACAAAGAAUAAAAUUCAAGAAUAAUAAAGGUACUAGAAAUUCAAUUGCUUGCAAUGUGGAUGGACUGGCCACGGUGGUCUUGGGAAAUAUGAACUACUAGCAUUAUUUUACAUGUGAAGCUAAUUUCUGCAGAAAAGACUCUUAAGUUAUAUGAAGUCUUUUUCAUACAUUUCUCAGAAUGUUUACAUUGCUCAGCUGAAAGCAUAAUAUCCAAAGGCACAACUAUAUCAAGUGCACUGAUUGGCAAGAUGUCAAAACAACAGCUCCAUUCAAAAAUUGUUCAAAGGGCGUAUCAGACGAGGAAAUUCACGAACUACUCAAAGAAAGUGAUGAAGGCUAUCCAGAUUUUUGAGAAUAGGAGGAAAGUGAAGUGGAUCUGAAUGAUGUAAACAAUGAAUAUGAGGGCCACAGUACUGAAUGUGAACUUGAAGGUGAGGAUGGUGAUGAACUCAGUAGAGAUGGCAGAUAUGCAGGAGUUCUUUAUUGGAAAAGAAAUAGUUCUGCAUGGGUGUAUAUUAAAGUGAACGUGCUAAAACGUCAAAAAGCAAUAGAAAGUACAGUGCCCAAAUUCUACAAGAUCCAAAGAGAAAUGUGAUGCAUAUACCUGAUAAGUUAGUGAUUUUUUGAAAACAAUUGAGCUUGACAUUAUUGAUGAAAUCAUAAAUUAUACAAAUACAUAUACAGUGAGAGACAUCUAUUCUCAUGCAAACGAGAUAAUAAACAUCACAUCGAGGCACACAAUAAUGGCUGUGU
Schistocerca gregaria is the source of this 864-nucleotide long non-coding RNA. RefSeq lists it as uncharacterized. The record is from RefSeq and is a predicted model, not a curated record. The transcript has 3 exons. NCBI's taxonomy places the organism in Eukaryota, Metazoa, Arthropoda, Insecta, Orthoptera, Acrididae.